This 799-nucleotide long non-coding RNA is filed under the name Medicago truncatula (barrel medic). RNAcentral's name for it is "lncRNA gene47931". The record is from RNAcentral. Lineage: Eukaryota; Viridiplantae; Streptophyta; Magnoliopsida; Fabales; Fabaceae.
GUUUAUUACAUUAUUUGGUGAAGAAUGUAAUUUAUGGUGUUUAUUACGUUAGUGGAAUCUCGGUAAUAGUUACCUCCGAAUGCAAGUAGAAGUGUUUAAAAUAUUGCAUGCAUAUGAGUCUUUAUGAAAUGUCUCAUACUUAAUGAUGUAAUUUGGUGAAUUAUGUGAUGAUGUGGUUUGGUAAAUUAUGUGAAUUAUGUGAGUGGUGAAUUAUGUGAUUGCGAGAAAAUGUGUACAUGAUAAUGUUUGUUACUUGGUGUUGUUGUUCGUAACCACGAUGGAGAUUGGAUAGUUGGUUUUUCUCACUAUGAAGCUGAAGCUGAUGCGUUAUUAGCUGAGUUACGUGCUAUCAAGAUAGGUCUUGGUUUUUGUAGUGAAAAAUGUUAUGUCAACAUUAUUUGUGAGAGUGAUUGUUUGGAAGCAGUUGACCUGAUUAUUGCUGGCCGUGAUCAUACCUUGCACACUUAUACUACUGACAUCCUUCAUAUUAAAGAUGCUCUACAUGGAAGUGGAAAUACAACAUUGGUGCAUGUUCUUAGAGAACAAAAUAUGUGUGUAGAUUUUAUGGCUAAGGAAAGAUCACGUAUCAGAUGCUCUACUCGCUUGAACCCUCCACAUGGCAUGGAAUCUUUGAUCUUGAAAGAUAAGCUUGGAACUUAAUUUUGACUAUCCCUCUUUUUUUUUCUUUUUCUUUUGGCCUGGUACAUUGUAACACUACCAAAAAAAUGUAUUUAUUUAUGUUAGUUAAAUUUAAAAUUCGUGUACAUAAAUAAAAAAUAUCAAUAACAAUUCAAAAUCC